UCCCUGGCAGUCCAGUGGUUAGGACUCAGCACUUUCACUGCUAAGAGCCCAGGUUCAAUCCCUGGUCAGUGAA
Molecule: transfer RNA, 73 nt
Filed under: Ovis aries (sheep)
Lineage: Eukaryota; Metazoa; Chordata; Mammalia; Artiodactyla; Bovidae
Rfam family: tRNA
About the family: Transfer RNA (tRNA) molecules are approximately 80 nucleotides in length.
Source: Rfam by way of RNAcentral